UACGUAGGGUGCGAGCGUUGUCCGGAAUUAUUGGGCGUAAAGAGCUCGUAGGCGGUUUGUCGCGUCUGCUGUGAAAUCCCGAGGCUCAACCUCGGGCCUGCAGUGGGUACGGGCAGGCUGGAGUUCGGUAGGGGAGACUGGAAUUCCUGGUGUAGCGGUGAAAUGCGCAGAUAUCAGGAGGAACACCGGUGGCGAAGGCGGGUCUCUGGGCCGAUACUGACGCUGAGGAGCGAAAGCGUGGGGAGCAAACAGG
Molecule: ribosomal RNA, 253 nt
Filed under: uncultured bacterium
Lineage: Bacteria
Description: partial 16S ribosomal RNA
Rfam family: Bacterial small subunit ribosomal RNA
Source: RNAcentral